UUCCAGAUUAGCAGAAGAUAAAUGUACUUGAUUUAGGCUCAAGAGGUAGAAAAUAUUCUAUUUGGUAG
This is a non-coding RNA of Mya arenaria, 68 nucleotides long. The record is from the annotation of a RefSeq genome assembly. NCBI's taxonomy places the organism in Eukaryota, Metazoa, Mollusca, Bivalvia, Myida, Myidae.